RNAcentral lists this ribosomal RNA (419 nucleotides) under bacterium. RNAcentral's name for it is "partial 16S ribosomal RNA". It matches the Rfam family "Bacterial small subunit ribosomal RNA", at positions 355 to 776 of the family's 1533-position model. The record is from RNAcentral.
UGGGGGAUAUUGCACAAUGGGCGCAAGCCUGAUGCAGCGACGCCGCGUGGGGGAUGAAGGCCUUCGGGUUGUAAACUUCUUUUGCUCUGAACAAGGCGCACUUUGGGGUGUGUUGAGUGUAGGGGUUGAUUAGCGCCGGCUAACUACGUGCCAGCAGCCGCGGUAAUACGUAGGGCGCGAGCGUUGUCCGGAAUUAUUGGGCGUAAAGGGCUUGUAGGUGGCUGGUUGCGUCUGUCGUGAAAGCUCAUGGCUUAACUGUGGGUUUGCGGUGGGUACGGGCUGGCUUGAGUGCAGUAGGGGAGGCUGGAAUUCCUGGUGUAGCGGUGGAAUGCGCAGAUAUCAGGAGGAAUACCGGUGGCGAAGGCGGGUCUCUGGGCUGUUACUGACACUGAGGAGCGAAAGCAUGGGGAGCGAACAGA